AGUGUGAUUAGGUUGCGAGCUUCCAUGGCCGUGCUAAUGUGCCGAAAAUAGUCUAACAAUAUUCGAAUUUGAAUGAAUUAGAGCAGGAACAGUUACUAUUUCUUAGAUUCUAGGGUUACUCAUCCGAAUAUCUUAUCAAGGUGUUAUAGCAUUUGAGAAAGAAAGACUAAAAUCAUAACCAAUUUACCAUCCAUCUCAUCGGGUAUCGAGACAGGUUUUCAAAGGCCCAUGUACCCCAAUUUGCUGUUUUGAUCAGCCCUAUAGUUGAAAUCAUGACCAUCUAUUCGGUCAUCGGCUGUUGAAUCAUCAGUUGUGUGCCGCGGUUGGCAACUGAUGCAAAUUAGUUUUUAAUGAUUGUGCUAAAUGAAUUCAUCAUGUAAGUACACUCAUUUCAUAUUGAUGAAAUUCAAAUAAUCUAAUACACCCAAUC
This 430-nucleotide long non-coding RNA is filed under the name Phoenix dactylifera (date palm). Its description in RNAcentral is "long non-coding RNA (PDAC_LNC020099)". The record is from RNAcentral. Lineage: Eukaryota; Viridiplantae; Streptophyta; Magnoliopsida; Arecales; Arecaceae.